This 760-nucleotide ribosomal RNA is filed under the name uncultured Gammaproteobacteria bacterium. RNAcentral's name for it is "bacterial SSU rRNA". It matches the Rfam family "Bacterial small subunit ribosomal RNA", at positions 69 to 824 of the family's 1533-position model. Lineage: Bacteria; Pseudomonadati; Pseudomonadota; Gammaproteobacteria. The record is from RNAcentral.
CGAUGGUAGCUUGCUACCAGGCGUCGAGCGGCGGACGGGUGAGUAACGCGUGAGAAUCUGCCCAUUUGUGGGGGAUAACUCGGGGAAACUCGAGCUAAUACCGCAUAAUCCCUACGGGGGAAAGCAGGGGACCUUCGGGCCUUGUGCAGAUGGAUGAGCUCGCGUCGGAUUAGCUAGUUGGUGGGGUAAAGGCCUACCAAGGCGACGAUCCGUAGCUGGUCUGAGAGGAUGAUCAGCCACACUGGGACUGAGACACGGCCCAGACUCCUACGGGAGGCAGCAGUGGGGAAUCUUGGACAAUGGGGGCAACCCUGAUCCAGCCAUGCCGCGUGUGUGAAGAAGGCCUUAGGGUUGUAAAGCACUUUCAGCAGGGAGGAAGGCUUCGAGUUAAUACCUUGGAGUACUUGACGUUACCUGCAGAAGAAGCACCGGCUAAUUUCGUGCCAGCAGCCGCGGUAAUACGAAAGGUGCGAGCGUUAAUCGGAAUUACUGGGCGUAAAGCGCGCGUAGGCGGUUUGUUAAGUCAGAUGUGAAAGCCCCGGGCUCAACCUGGGAACUGCAUUUGAAACUGGCAGGCUAGAGUGCAGUAGAGGGAGGUGGAAUUUCCGGUGUAGCGGUGAAAUGCGUAGAGAUCGGAAGGAACACCAGUGGCGAAGCGGCCUCCUGGACUGACACUGACGCUGAGGUGCGAAAGCGUGGGGGAGCAAACAGGAUUAGAUACCCUGGUAGUCCACGCCGUAAACGAUGUCUACUAGUCGUU